GACGAACGCUGGCGGCGUGCUUAACACAUGCAAGUCGAACGGAAAGGCCCUGCUUUUGGGGGGUGCUCGAGUGGCGAACGGGAGUAUAACACGUGAGUAACCUGCCCUUGACUUUGGGAUAACUUCAGGACACUGGGGCUAAUACCGGAUAGGAGCCCCUGCUGCAUGGGGGGGGUGGGAAAGUUUCGGCGGUGGGGGAUGGACUCGGGGCUUAUCAGCUUGUUGGUGGGGUAGUGGCUUACCAAGGCUUUGGCGGGUAGCCGGCCUGAGGGGGUGACCGGCCACAUUGGGACUGGGAUACGGCCCAGACUCCUACGGGAGGCAGCGGUGGGGAAUAUUGCACAAUGGUCGGAGGCCGGAUGCGGCAACGCCGCGUGCGGGAUGACGGCCUUCGGGUUGUAACCCGCUUUCGCCUGUGACGAGGCGUGAGUGACGGUAAUGGGUAAAGAAGCACCGGCUAACUACGUG
RNAcentral lists this ribosomal RNA (468 nucleotides) under uncultured bacterium. RNAcentral describes it as "partial 16S ribosomal RNA". It matches the Rfam family "Bacterial small subunit ribosomal RNA", at positions 28 to 507 of the family's 1533-position model. The record is from RNAcentral.